CUCGCCAAAAUAUUCACCGUCGCCCAAAAGAGCGAUCCGCAAAUCCUCGCCGUGAGGGCCUUUGCUGAUGACCUCGGCCUGUCCGCUGGCCACGAUGAAGAAGCGCUGCUUGUCCUUGCCCUCCUCCACGAAGAGUUUGUCCACGUCCACCUCCUUCGCCUCGAACGAGUUCACGAGGCGGUUCACUAUCUCGUCGUCAAAUUCCGAGAACAGGGGGAUAGCCUUGAGGUUCUUCGCCGUAAACGAGGGCACGCCGUUGACGUACUGGAUGGGCAGGCGGUCGUUCUUACGCAACUCCACCUUCGUACGGUUCACGCGGAACGUUCCUCCGCUCACCUGCACCCAGGGCAGCAGUUUCAGUAACAGUCUCGGGGUUAUCGAGCCCAUCUGCGGGGCGGUCUUCGUAGUCGUUGCCAGUCUUCUGGCGGUGGCAGUGGU
RNAcentral lists this non-coding RNA (438 nucleotides) under uncultured Prevotella sp. Lineage: Bacteria; Pseudomonadati; Bacteroidota; Bacteroidia; Bacteroidales; Prevotellaceae. The record is from RNAcentral.